GUUGUGGCUCAGUGGUAGAGUGCUCGCCUAGCACAUGUGAGGCACUGGGUUCGAUCCUCAGCACUACA
Molecule: transfer RNA, 68 nt
Filed under: Marmota monax (woodchuck)
Lineage: Eukaryota; Metazoa; Chordata; Mammalia; Rodentia; Sciuridae
Description: tRNA.Ala
Source: RNAcentral